Molecule: unclassified non-coding RNA, 9103 nt
Filed under: Homarus americanus (American lobster)
Lineage: Eukaryota; Metazoa; Arthropoda; Malacostraca; Decapoda; Nephropidae
Description: uncharacterized LOC121855197, transcript variant X2
Source: RNAcentral
UGUAUAGGCACCAUAAUGAGGAUAAUUACCAGAAGGCGUGUCAAAGUUCGCGUGACGGUACGGAGGGGUGAUGGAAGCGUGACGAGCCAUGGUUGGGCCUUCCAUAGAAAGCGGGAUGAGGACGGCCAUGAGAGAAAACAAGGUGAGAGUGGGGAUGAUGAAGGGGUAACUCCUAAAGAAGCGCAGAGUGCGGCUGGUGAACCCCCUCCGCCCACCCCUGACUCUUCUCACUACGAUACCGUCUGUGAUGAUAGGGACCUCGACGUUGAAUUAGAAGAAGAUGCCGACUAUGAAGAUGCUCAUUACGAAGAUACUAAAGGCUCAGGCAUAUAUGAGAAUUUAGAUAAAGAUUCGGAGAGGAUAUACGAAGAGGUUGGGAAGAAAGGUUUGAGGGUCCGCUUCGAAGGUGAUAAUAAUGAAGAAGAUGGAGAUGAUGGAAGCCUCUACUCGACUGGUGCCAUACCAAAGAGAGGCAGCACCUCUACCUUGACGGAGGAGGAGGAGGAGGAAGAGGAGGAAAGAGGGGGUAAAGAAGUAGAGGAAGAGCAAGAACAAGAUGAUGAUGGACAGAUAUAUGAGACAAUUGGGGAGUUCCGUCAGAGCACCGAGCCGAAAGACCCCACGAGAGAUGACAGGAAAGGCGAGACAUUGACGAGGGAAAGUGAGACGUAUAUAUACGAUGAACCGAGAAAGAUCGAGGUAACGGUGACAUCCAAGAGAGAAGGUGAUGAUUUUGAGGACAGGAAGUAUAAUAGUGAUAAACCAAAGGGGAAAAAGAGAGGGAAGGUGGAGGUUAAGUUCACCCCUUGGCAAACAGAAGGUCGUGGACAGAGAACAAAGAUAAUAAACGAUAAGUGUAAUGAUGGCGAUGAAAACCUGAAAGUGGAACAGACGACAAAAUUUUCUUGCUGUGACGGAAACGGAUCCAGACAUAAGACAGGGGAUGGUGACAGGGGGGAAAUGGGGUCCCCGUAUGAGCUUCACCACAGGUCCAAGAUUGAAGUCACCUCUGAGAAUAUGAGUGAUGGUGGUUGUGAUGGUGGUGAUGAUGGUGACGCGGGAGGUAACACGACCAAGAACAAAAAAUCGUCUUGUGGUCAUCAAUGUGUAGAUGAUGAUAAUGAUGAUGACGACCUCGAUGACGAUGAUUUUGGUGAUGAUGAAAGUACCAUCUACCAGCGGGGGAGACAUAGAGUGAAGAAAAGGACGCUGAUAAGGGUGAGAGGAGUGGGUGUGGACAUGGAUAAGAACCAGGACCUAGAAGCAGCUGGCAGGGCCCUAGUCAAGACCUUCACUAAAACAAUCGUCACGUUCGGAAGAGAUAGUAGCAGUUGCAGCGAAAGGACGCGAGAGUCUAAACCAGACGGCUCGACUUCUGAUCCCGAAAAAUCAGAGGGUUCAAGCUCGUCAGUCAUCAUCCUUGAAACAUACGGCGCUGACCCUAACAUCUUGAGGAGCGACCAGGAGGAAGAAGACUCCACAGAUACCGGCACUGAGGUUACCCAAGACUCCUCGCCACCAACCAGCGACUCUUCCUUAAACUUAUCCAAUCUAUCUGGAGUCUCAACUCUAAGAUUCAGUCCAGAUUACCGACACUCGAAUGAAAGCGACGACGGCAGCUACACCGACCCAGGAUCUCAGACUGACACCUCCACUGACACUCUUGUCGCUGACGUCACCCACUACCAGACUGAUGUUGUGGAGGUGAGGGAGGCGUAUGUGGAGUAUGACCAGGUGACUGGAGCCUUUAUAGAGUUCCCGGACACUGAGGUGGCACACAGCCAAUCCGAAAACACUCCGGACACACUCAUACAAUACCCCGACGCUCACGUUACGUACAGAGAGUACGACCACAGCUCUGGUGCGUACAUAGAGUAUCCAGGUACACGAGACACAUACGACCACAGCUCUGGUGCGUACAUAGAGUAUCCAGGUACACGAGACACAUACGACCACAGCUCCGGGGGAAUUAUAGAAUAUUUAAGCCGGAAAGAAACUUUAUACGAGAAACAGCAGACUACAGGAGCCUUUAUUGAAUACCUGAACGAUAAUAGUGGAGACGAGGACCUCACACGAAGCCCGACCAUCGAGGAUUUAAGUUCCUUAGGGGAGAACGGCGACUCCUUCUUUGUGAACUUUGAGGAAGAGUUAGAGCGAGUGGAAAGGCAGUAUCCGAACUUGCAAGCUGAACAUUUAUUAGCCGGCCAGGAGACAGAAGAACAGGAAGAACUCGUAGACGUUCCUCUGUGGGUUUGUGAAACAGUAAAAGAACUCAACCGGUGCGCGACCAUCACUGAGGAGGACGAAGAGGAGGAGGAGGUGGUGGUGGUGCAGCGAGAGAAGCUGGAGACCUCCAACAUGGGCCAGUACUACUCCAGCGCCUCGGGGGGCGGGCCCUCCAGAGGCGAAAUGUCGGGAUCUUUACCCUCGUCGCCUCGGUCCUCAGAAGAAUGGAGAAUGUCGAUGGCGUCCACAGCGACGGUGGCGUCCACAGCCACUGCAGACAGCGAUGACACUCUGGCCAAGGACAUGUCGGAGCUCUCGUCUGUCAACUCUCGUCUCUCGUGCCUGGAUGAGGUUCAGGACGAGGUGAGACACCCCUCUUCUACCCCUUCUGGGGUAGACCCAAGCGCCGCACACAAACUCACACCGCAGUCCAACCACAAGCGGCAGACGAGCAUCAAGGACGCUAUUGAUGAGCUUGAGAGUAUUGAACAAGCUGCCCAGACGCUACUGCAGAAGCGACAGUUCUCUACCGAGGACGAUCGUACGACACCAGUCUCAGCCUCUGACACAGUGACUGUCCUCCCCACUAGUGUGAGUGAUACUAAAGUGACUCUCAGUGAGAAGUUCAGUCCACAGUCUAAGAGAAAAGUGACGCCAAGUUCACCAUCACUCCGAAGUGAGACUCUCGUAGAAGAAACAGAGAACACACUGCCGACACACACACCCGAGGAGGAUAAGACGAACACCGGGUCAUCCAGCGAGCAAGUGGACACGAUCAUUACACCUGCCAAGACUGAUAAGGAGACGCCAUGUCCAAGUGUUGAAACCUCAGUCACUCCGGCAGAUCUUACUGUUAAUGGUGACUCAACAACCAAGCCGACGAAGGAAGAUCAAGUGGUUAACUCCAAGUCGGAAGUGAAGCCGCCUCUUCCCCCGACGGCAGGAGGCCAGCCGCCCAAGCUAGAAGUUAAGCGUCGCUUGUGGUCGAGGUCUAAGGAGCUCCAGCCUUACAUCUCGCGAGAGUCUUACAACGACGACAGAGUGUUGAAGGAACUGGAGAGGUUACGCCGUAGUUACCAAGAGAGUGACCUGAACGACUUCUUGGACGCUCUGGAAAAUACGGCCAUUUCCGACGACAUUGAGGAAGCUUUCCUACGUCAGCUGCUGGUGGACAUCAGCGAGGAUGUCGAGGACGGGACUCGGGAAGCCGAGGAUUCACCUCAACUGGAGGAGGAGACGAUAGUCGCCGCCACGCCAGAGACCGUAACUCAGGUGGCUGAUGAGGUGCCGCCAGAACCCCCCCGACCAUCACCUGCCACAAGCAAGUUUGAGAAGGUCAAAGAGAGAAUUUUGGAGAUGAUAACAAUACGUAGAGCUGGGAGGGUCAUAGACACCACCAACUGUGAGACACCCACCAGCUGUGAGACACCCACCAACUGUGAGACACCCGCCAGCUGUGAGACACCCGCCAGCUGUGAGACACCCGCCAGCUGUGAGACAACCUCAACUCUGAGAGAAGACUCUAAGAGCUUGACUGAGGAUUCUGGUCGUUUCGAAACUCCUCAGAUCAGUAGGUCGAUCACACCUCAGUCACUCAGACCAGACACACCAGACUCCAAGUCCAGCAGACCACAGACUCCAGAUGUGACCAAGGGAGAGGAGGGCAAGAAGAGCUUCAACAUCACAGAGUUCUUGAAGAAAGGUUCACCCAAGUACCUGAGAAAGAAGUACAAGGAGAGAAAGAACCGUAAAUCAGAUGUGUUGACAACGUCAGAGAGCGAGAGUGAGGACCCAGAGGCCGGGAAGAAGGAUAUCGGAAAUGGUAACAGUUUGUCUCAGAGGAAAGUACCAUUUACGGGAAGUCAGUCAAGUCUAAAGGGAAGCAAUCGAUCGCUGAGCACCUCACAAGAACUCAAAAAGGAAGUUCGCUUUGAUCUUGACGGUGAAGAACAGAAGAAAGGUUUGGAGGAUACAAGUGGCAGAGACGCCAGAACCGAGUUAACAACACCGGUGAGAGUCGAGGAGAAGUGGAAAGAGCAACACAGAUACUCGGGUCCUCAGAUGAUCACGUGUGAGGCGCAGCUGCAGGAGACCGUCAUACUGAAGGAGUUUGAAGAGACGACGCAGGAUAUGGAGAGCGACACGUCCUUUCCGCUACCCACCACAGUACUCGACAUAAACAGCCGAGCAGAAACAUUACUCCCGAGGCUGCCUGAGAGAGUUAGGCCACCCAGGAAGAAGAAGAAACUCAUCCCCACGUCUGUUGAGGAGCUGAGUGGUGGAGACCUUUCUGAUAACUCUACCUCCACUGUGACCUCCAACAGCUCACUGAAGGCGGUGGAUCCCAGAACGGAGUCGCUGAGAGUCAACGAGGCAGCCAAGGAGGAGUCACCCCCGCCCCUCCCUCCAUAUGAAGAAAUUAUCGAUCUGCCUAAAACUAAACCCAAAUGUGUUGAGGUGGUGGAAAUGACCCGGUCUGAGGGCGUGACCUCGGAGGUGAGAGAAGAGUUUGUAAUGACAGUGACCGAAGAAAGUGUUAAGAAUAUUGAGUCAUCCUUAUCCGUGUCUUCAUCCGCCUCGAUGACGCUACUCCCUGACACCACUGUGACAUCCUCCACUCCUGCCACCACUACUGUACCACCACCACCACCACGCUCUGCCACUGUUGCCACGUCCUCAGCUGCCGCAUCUACUGGGACUACGACGGAGAGUAUGUCUGCUCCACCACCCAUCCCGCCCGCCCCGUCACCAUCCAGCCUCUCCACCUCAGUUGUUGAGGUGGAGGUUCUCGUGUCGCCGCUGCCUGUGACCUCCGUGGCAUCCAUAUCUGUUGCUCCGUUACCUGAGAGUGCCACGCUGGUGGUGUACCCCGCCAGGACCUUACCCCUGCCUGUAAUCCCCGAGUCCCUGCAGGAGGACCAGGUGUCCCUCCCCACUCCCAGCGAGCCCACCGUCUCAUUCAGCAGCCUCGGAGGGUCGGCACCAACCACGCCGCAGGCUGGGGAGGAAAACCUUCCCUCCCUCUAUGAUAACGUCAACCCCUUCAAGGAGAUGCUGGAGCUGGAGGCUAGACUUCUCGAGGGCGAAGUAUCUGAGCCUCCAACUGUUACCACCACUACAGUAAACGUUAGUUCCGAGUUGACGAAAGUAGAGACAUGUGAAGUGCCACAACCGGCCCAGGAGGUGACGUCAGGCCACUUAAGUCUUCCGCAGGCAGCUCGCCAGAGCCCUGACUUGGAGAAGAAUGAAGUAGUCGACCUUGACGCGCUUGCAGCUCUGACCGCUGAGAUGUUUAACUUCACCGACGGCUUGGAUAAAAAAGUUCCUUGGAAUAAAAACAAGAAAAAGGAAAGUUAUAAAGCACCGGUUGCUGAGGUCAAUGAAGUAUCUGAUACGUCCACAUCUGUGAUGAAGUCAGAGCGUCUGACGGAGAAAGUCAUUGAUGAAUCGGUAACAACAGCUGAGGAACUUGAGGCUGCAUCCUCCACGACGCUCUCACUACCACCACAAGACGAAGUAAGAGUUAAGAAAGAGACUAAGGAAAUUGUGACACAAACAGAGCCUGAGAUACCCUCUCGAGGCCUGUCUGUGAGGGAGGUGGCCAGGAGCAACACCAUCGCCAUACAGACCGACGCCACCAGGUAUGUUCGGAUGUACGAGGCCGCCUCACAGACCGACACGGAGUAUGAAACUGACCUCGAGACCGAAUCUGAAAUAGAAGAAAACACGACGAACAAAUACGACCCCGGCAAGUGGUUAUACCGACCGACCAGAGAGAACAAGGUGCCGCUGCCCACACCCAGAGACCCCCAGCUCCAGGAGCUGCACAGACAGCAGCAGGCAAUGAUACAGGAGCUGCAGAAACAGACCGUCAUGCAGGAGCGGCGAGAGAAGGACAAGCCAGAGGCGCCACCACGUCAAUUCCAAGACAAGAUGCCCCUGAAGGUGGUGGACGAGCUGAAGAACGUUCUCUCCGACGUGGACGAGGCCGGACCCAAGCUGAAGAAGGUGGGCGAGCCUCCCCCCCGCUGGGACUCAGACCUCACCUGGGAUAACGAUGACCUGGCAACUAUACCCGAGGAGGCGCUCAUGACGAGUGCCAGAAUGGUGGGCGGCAGCGGUGGCGACACUCAUCAAGCACUGCCCGGAGUCACCCGAGACCUGCCACACCGCCAGCAGGAGGCAGCAACGCCCCGUCAGGAGAGCCCAGCCAAGCAUGUUAAAGCCUUACAGGAACUUGGUCUGGACGAGUCGACCCUCCUGACCGAGAUCGAACAAAUACUCGGAUUCGGUUCGCUGUCCUCCUCCAAGAACCGAACGGAGAAAGCGAACGGCAUCUCGGCUACUUCCUGUCAACCGGACACAUUCGAAAAACCGGUUAAGUUGGAAAAGCCGAGUUCGAAGACUUCCGGCGGCAAACCACUAGUUCCGGAACGUGAUUCAAGCAAAGGAGUGUGGUCGCCGGGGAGGUCUGGCGAGGAACGCACCGGGCCCUCCAAGAUUGACCUCCCUGACCUCCCGUCCUUCAAGGAUCAACCCACCGUGUGGAGUCCCGGCAGAGGCCAGCACUACACGGGACUCACCCAGAGCCGUGUUCCUGAGACCCGAGCUGACCACCCCAACCCUCGCUACACCUCGGGGAGCGCGAGUCCGAGCCUGGGCCGGAAGGAGUACCGCAAGGUGAACUACGACGGCCAGACCACACCCCAAAGACGCCCCUCACAGGAGAACGUGUUAAUCCCACGGCCAGAGGAGAGCUUCGCUUGGAAGGACAUCAAGGUGGAUAAGGUGGCCCGUUCUCCUACCUCCACCCUGCCCAAGGUUCAGAACCCUACCGUCACACUCCUGCAGAAGAAGCGAGAUGAUCCGCAUUCGACCUCAGAGGGUCAGAUCCCCGGAAAACGACCAGAGUACUUGAAACCUGAUGACAUUGGUCCCAAGUACAAACCUGACGACAAAUUAUACAUCAUCAAGAGAGAGUACGAGUCAGAAGACGAGGAAGGAGGGCGUCGCUUCGCUGUGUUAGGGCCCAAGAAGGUUCAAGGGGUGGGCCCCACAACCCAGGACGGGGUCCCUACCACCCUUAAGUCGCAAACUGGGAAUUCAGGAGACUACAGGAGCGUUUGUUAUGACCAGGAGAGGUACCGGGAACUGUCUGGCCACACUGGGAGAGUUGGCAUGUUUGAUAAUACAGCAGGUGUAAAAUCAGAGCACCAAGGAGAGUGGUACAGAAGGAUGUUUGACUCACUGCAUAAAGUAAAAGAUGAACACUGUGGAAACGACCACAUCAUCAUCAAAUACAAAGUCCCCAGAGCACGUUAUGGGGGGUACAUGUCGGAGCCUGAGGGUUACGACUCUGAUGUUGGCUCCUCCCGCUACGCCACCCUCGACCGACGCCGCCAACACCACUUCGAGGUGGACCCCAUGACCGCCAGCCUGCCCAGAGACUACAACGUCGACCUGGACCCCUUCAGUAGGAACUCCAACCGCUACGUACACCAGCCUGGCCGUAUUGAAGACUAUGUUCCUGGGUACUCCUCACUCUCGGAGAAGGAGCUGAAGAAGUUUUUACAGUCCAGAACACCUAAUCCGGAGGCAGACAUAAAGCUUGAGACACAGACACAAGAGCCUCCACCGGUGUCUGUUAACCAUAGGUACAGUUCACAGAAGAUGUCCAUGACCCAUGCUUUGAAGGAAUCCGGAUACGAGAGCGACAGUACCCUAGUGUUCAGGAAGCGUGAGGACGCCCGCCGUCAGGCCCCCGACCCCAGGAAGACGAGCCAAGUGUAUCGUCAGAUCCAGCGAGGAGGUGACAUCCCACUAACUGGUCUUCAGAAAGCCAACCCACCCAAGCCAAGAGAGCCGGUGGUGGGUCCUCUCCCGUUCCCCUACCUGUCGGGAGGGCAUCAGGCACCCCCCGCCCGCCCAGAAUCACCAUAUAAGUAUGAGUCAGGAGAAGUGAACAUCCACUAUCGGACUCCUGUAAGGAUUGAACAGAAGGAAGCCAUCCCUGAGGAGGAGUUGGCGCGCCGUCAGGAGGAACACAUGAAGAAAGUCUACGAGAACGAGAGACGUAAGAAAUACCUGGCGGAAUUGGAAGACAUUGAGCGCCGAAGACACACUGAUAACUUUACGCCAUUACAGAAAUCCCCAAUUCCUUUGAAUCGAUACGACGAUGAAAGUAGUCUGGGCACUUUACGCGGCACCAGAACACCAGAUCUCAAGCAGGUUGCGAAGGCAUUGUACAACUUUACUGCACAAAAUAAGAGGGAACUGUCAUUCAAUAAAGGUGAAAUUGUCUUCAUCCGUCGACAAAUAGACAAGAAUUGGUUUGAGGGAGAGUUGCGAGGUUCAGUUGGUAUUUUCCCCUGCAACUAUGUUGAGAUUGUGCCUUAUGAGAACAUUAAGACACUGACCAGGAAACCUACAGAAGGUCAGGCAAGAUCCAGAUUCAAUUUCCAGGCUCAAACCUCUAUGGAGAUGUCCCUCAGCAAAGGAGAGUUGGUUGUCUUGACUCGACGUGUGGAUGAGAAUUGGUAUGAAGGACGGAUAGGUAAUCGUAAGGGCAUCUUCCCAGUCUCUUAUGUCGACACGUUGUUAGAACCCGGCAGUGAUAGACCCAUGACUCCCAGCUCCUCGCCCAUGCCACGACCCGCUCUACCUGCCGCUAAUCUGCUCUACAAUGGUGCCUCCUCCUACUCCAGCCCCUACUCCACUUUGGUGCGUACUGGAAGCUAUGAUUAAGGGACGACCGGGAAGUCAAAAUGAUUCUAGACCUUACAAUCAGUCCCUCACCGUAAACACUCAGCAGGAACCUGUUGCGUAUCGCGCUCUAUACAAUUACAAGCCCCAGAAUGAUGAUGAGUUGGAACUUUUG